UCGGGGUCAGAGUGGGAGGUGGCAGAUUGGCCCUGCGCUUUGCUUCCCGAGUAAACAGGGGGCUGGCCGGCCUCCCUGCUGCAGCCUCCUGGCCGGCCUCCCCCUGCAGCCUCCGGGCUGGCCUCCCCAGCCCCACUCUGCGCAGUGCCCCCACCCCGCCCACCCCCUCUGACCUCUCCCGGCCCCUCUGGCUGUGGGGACUUCCUUAGUCCUGGCCUGUCCGGGUUUUCAGAGGCCCAAGGGGGUUGCUGGGCAGGCUGCCCUUGAGCCAGCCUGCAGGGGGCUGUUCUGACUGUCCUUGUCAUAGUCAGGGAAGAGGCCUGGGCUCUGGAGGCCGGACCCUGCCGCUCUCUGGCCUCACCCACCUCGGGCCACUGGGGCUGCACCUGCGGCCACCAGGGGAGGAGCCUGCUGCUGAGAAAAAAAAAUGGACCUGUGCUCUACCAACAGUAAAACCCACCCGCUUCAGUGUACGAUUUGGUGACUCAGGCAAACCACACAGCCUGUAACCACCCCCUCAGCUGGGAUUCAGAUCCCACCCGAUCCCUGCGCACCCCGUGGCCAGCAGUCCCUGGCCCUGCACCAGCCCCUGGCCACCACCGGUGGCUCUCCUUCUGCCUUUUUCCAGAGCCCGGUCAGCCCUCUGCAUCUGAGGACUGAAAAUAUUUGGAAAAAAAAAAAAAAAAACUGUCGAUGUCUCUUCUGGUCCUUCUCCCCUCAACAAUACAGCGUGACCACAGUUCACACAGCACCGGCA
Marmota monax (woodchuck) is the source of this 757-nucleotide long non-coding RNA. RefSeq lists it as uncharacterized. The transcript is spliced from 2 exons. The record is from RefSeq and is a predicted model, not a curated record. Lineage: Eukaryota; Metazoa; Chordata; Mammalia; Rodentia; Sciuridae.